AUCCCUUGUCGGCCUUUUGGCUAAGAUCAAGUGCAGUAUUUGUUCUUAUCAGUUUAAUAUUUGAUACGUGGGGCAAUGCCUCACACGAUAAAAAAUUUAAUUUUUUUCGAGGGAAAGUCCACCACAAUAGCUUGCUAUCGGGACCUUCAUGUGUCGCAUUUGCGUUGCACUACUGCAAGGGCUUCGCACACCUCAG
Thalictrum thalictroides is the source of this 196-nucleotide non-coding RNA. Lineage: Eukaryota; Viridiplantae; Streptophyta; Magnoliopsida; Ranunculales; Ranunculaceae. The record is from the annotation of a GenBank genome assembly.